This 83-nucleotide transfer RNA is filed under the name Bdellovibrionales bacterium. RNAcentral describes it as "tRNA-Leu". It matches the Rfam family "tRNA". From Rfam's summary of the family: Transfer RNA (tRNA) molecules are approximately 80 nucleotides in length. Their secondary structure includes four short double-helical elements and three loops (D, anti-codon, and T loops). The record is from RNAcentral. Lineage: Bacteria; Pseudomonadati; Bdellovibrionota; Bdellovibrionia; Bdellovibrionales.
GCCUUGGUGGCGGAAUGGUAGACGCGCAUGACUCAAAAUCAUGUGGCCGUAAGGCCGUGGGAGUUCAAGUCUCCCCCGAGGCA